Molecule: transfer RNA, 66 nt
Filed under: Apatides fortis
Lineage: Eukaryota; Metazoa; Arthropoda; Insecta; Coleoptera; Bostrichidae
Description: tRNA-Trp
Source: RNAcentral
AAGGAUUUAAGUUAAAUCAAACUAAUAGCCUUCAAAGCUGUAAAUAAACAACAGGUUUAAGCCUUA